GUGCCUUAAACUAAUGAGUAAGGAAAAUUUACAAGCCUUGGUGACGCUUGGCUUCAACAGUACAAUCUGUUACCUUUAAUUUUUUGAAGGGUAAAGGUCGUCCCCUUGACUGGCCCGCCUACUUUGCGGGCUAGUCGGGCGAUAGCGAUCUGCCCU
Acyrthosiphon pisum (pea aphid) is the source of this 156-nucleotide non-coding RNA. Lineage: Eukaryota; Metazoa; Arthropoda; Insecta; Hemiptera; Aphididae. The record is from Rfam.